This 459-nucleotide ribosomal RNA is filed under the name uncultured bacterium. RNAcentral describes it as "partial 16S ribosomal RNA". It matches the Rfam family "Bacterial small subunit ribosomal RNA", at positions 338 to 795 of the family's 1533-position model. The record is from RNAcentral.
CCUACGGGGGGCAGCAGUGAGGAAUAUUGGUCAAUGGCCGCAGGGCUGAACCUGCCAAGUCGCGUGAGGGAUGACGGUCCUAUGGAUUGUAAACCUCUUUUGUCAGGGAGCAAAGGGCGCCACGUGUGGCGCUUUGCGAGUACCUGAAGAAAAAGCAUCGGCUAACUCCGUGCCAGCAGCCGCGGUAAUACGGAGGAUGCGUGCGUUAUCCGGAUUUAUUGGGUUAAAGGGGCGCGCAGGCGGAAUGUAAAGUCAGCGGUAAAAUUUCGGGGGUCAACCCCGUCGUGCCGUUGAAACUGGCGGUCUUGAGUGAGCGAGAAGUAUGCGGAAUGCGUGGUGUAGCAGUGAAAUGCGUAGAUAUCACGCAGAACUCCGAUUGCGAAGGCAGCAUACCGGCGCUCAACUGACGCUCAUGCACGAAAGCGUGGGUAUCGAACAGGAUUAGAUACCCGAGUAGUC